UGGGGAAUUUUGGACAAUGGGGGGCAACCCUGAUCCAGCAAUGCCGCGUGUGUGAAGAAGGCCUUCGGGUUGUAAAGCACUUUUGUCCGGAAAGAAAACGUCGUGGUUAAUACCCGUGCGGCUGACGGUACCGGAAGAAUAAGCACCGGCUAACUACGUGCCAGCAGCCGCGGUAAUACGUAGGGUGCAAGCGUUAAUCGGAAUUACUGGGCGUAAAGCGUGCGCAGGCGGUCCGCUAAGACAGAUGUGAAAUCCCCGGGCUUAACCUGGGAACUGCAUUUGUGACUGGCGGGCUAGAGUAUGGCAGAGGGGGGUANAAUUCCACGUGUAGCAGUGAAAUGCGUAGAGAUGUGGAGGAAUACCGAUGGCGAAGGCAGCCCCCUGGGCCAAUACUGACGCUCAUGCACGAAAGCGUGGGGAGCAAACAGGAUUAGAUACCCUGGUAGUCCACGCCCUAAACGAUGUCAACUAGUUGUCGGGUCUUCAUUGACUUGGUAACGAGCUAACGCGUGAAGUUGACCGCCUGGGGAGUACGGUCGCAAGAUUAAAACUCAAAUGAAUUGACGGGGUCUAGCUGUUUCCUG
RNAcentral lists this ribosomal RNA (584 nucleotides) under uncultured bacterium. RNAcentral's name for it is "partial 16S ribosomal RNA". It matches the Rfam family "Bacterial small subunit ribosomal RNA", at positions 355 to 933 of the family's 1533-position model. The record is from RNAcentral.